This 480-nucleotide ribosomal RNA is filed under the name uncultured bacterium. RNAcentral describes it as "partial 16S ribosomal RNA". It matches the Rfam family "Bacterial small subunit ribosomal RNA", at positions 28 to 523 of the family's 1533-position model. The record is from RNAcentral.
GACGAACGCUGGCGGCGUGCCUAACACAUGCAAGUCGAGCGAAUGAAGUUCCUUCGGGAAUGGAUUUAGCGGCGGACGGGUGAGUAACACGUGGGCAACCUGCCUCAUAGAGGGGAAUAGCCUUCCGAAAGGGAGAUUAAUACCGCAUAAGAUUGUAGUACCGCAUGAUACAGCAAUUAAAGGAGCAAUCCGCUAUGAGAUGGGCCCGCGGCGCAUUAGCUGGUUGGUGAGGUAACGGCUCACCAAGGCGACGAUGCGUAGCCGACCUGAGCGGGUGAUCGGCCACAUUGGGACUGAGACACGGCCCAGACUCCUACGGGAGGCAGCAGUGGGGAAUAUUGCACAAUGGGGGAAACCCUGAUGCAGCAACGCCGCGUGAGUGAUGACGGCCUUCGGGUUGUAAAGCUCUGUCUUCAGGGACGAUAAUGACGGUACCUGAGGAGGAAGCCACGGCUAACUACGUGCCAGCCGCCGCAGUAA